GGUGGCUCAGUGGCAGAGUGCUUGCCUUGCAUGCAUGAGGUCCUGGGUUCGAUUCCUGAGCACCA
This 65-nucleotide transfer RNA is filed under the name Dipodomys ordii (Ord's kangaroo rat). It matches the Rfam family "tRNA". From Rfam's summary of the family: Transfer RNA (tRNA) molecules are approximately 80 nucleotides in length. Their secondary structure includes four short double-helical elements and three loops (D, anti-codon, and T loops). Lineage: Eukaryota; Metazoa; Chordata; Mammalia; Rodentia; Heteromyidae. The record is from Rfam by way of RNAcentral.